This is a long non-coding RNA of Amphiprion ocellaris (clown anemonefish), 702 nucleotides long. NCBI's taxonomy places the organism in Eukaryota, Metazoa, Chordata, Actinopteri, Pomacentridae. The record is from Ensembl.
GGUAGCAUCUCUGGCUGCUGUUGAUCUUGUUUUUGGAGUAAAACACGGUGGAAGCUGAAUUAGUGAGGAAGACUCCUGCUCCUGUCAUCUCUAAGCUCCUCACACAUCUUUACCUGCACAUGAGGAAAAUCACUCCUGUAGAAUGCAGAUGUUCAGAGGGAGAUGAUGCCACAUCUGGUCCAGCUGAUGGAAGGUCUUGAAGUUCUCUGACUGGCCUCGACUGAAGAUGGUCGUCUCACUGGAUUUAAGGUUCAGAUGCUCAGUAACAAACUCCACCAAUGUGCCAACAGGGAAGCUUUAGGUUUAUUAAAUGUUGCUAUGAAGGUUUCGCUGUUUUUCUUUGUGAAUGCAAUGUGCUCCAACUGAAACUUGAAUUAGAACUUAGAAGUAAAUCCUUCCAUCUGAAAGGAUUUAGUUGCAUUAAUAACCUCAUAACAUUCUAAUUUUUAUUCCAGUCUUGGUUGGAAAUAGAAUCUCUGUAUUGAUUCAGGUAAAAACUGAACUUCACAGCAUGUUGGAGCAAAACAACCAGAUGAAAACUGUGAUGGUGUUGGAUUGUCAGACCGUAAUGUUGCAGCUCAAAGCAGCUUUUCUAUCUCAGUUCAUUCUGACAUUCAGCUAUGAAUCAACACAGCAGAUGGUGAUCCAUGCUGUGGAAGUCUCACAUCUCCUGAUUUAAUGGAGCUGCUUUGCACUUUUUAC